GACGAACGCUGGCGGCGUGCUUAACACAUGCAAGUCGAACGAUGAUGCCCAGCUUGCUGGGUGGAUUAGUGGCGAACGGGUGAGUAACACGUGAGUAACCUGCCCCUGACUCUGGGAUAAGCGUUGGAAACGACGUCUAAUACUGGAUAUGACUGCCGGCCGCAUGGUCUGGUGGUGGAAAGAUUUUUUGGUUGGGGAUGGACUCGCGGCCUAUCAGCUUGUUGGUGAGGUAAUGGCUCACCAAGGCGACGACGGGUAGCCGGCCUGAAAGGGUGACCGGCCACACUGGGACUGCGACACGGCCCAGACUCCUACGGGAGGCAGCAGUGGGGAAUAUUGCACAAUGGGCGAAAGCCUGAUGCAGCAACGCCGCGUGAGGGAUGACGGCCUUCGGGUUGUAAACCUCUUUUAGUAGGGAAGAAGCGAAAGUGACGGUGCCUGCAGAAAAAGCACCGGCUAACUACGUGCCAGCAGCCGCCGUAA
This 483-nucleotide ribosomal RNA is filed under the name uncultured bacterium. Its description in RNAcentral is "partial 16S ribosomal RNA". It matches the Rfam family "Bacterial small subunit ribosomal RNA", at positions 28 to 523 of the family's 1533-position model. The record is from RNAcentral.